AUUGAACGCUGGCGGCAUGCUUUACACAUGCAAGUCGAACGGUAACAGGCCGCAAGGUGCUGACGAGUGGCGAACGGGUGAGUAAUGCAUCGGAACGUGCCAGUCGUGGGGGAUAACGCAGCGAAAGUUGCGCUAAUACCGCAUACGAACUAUGGAUGAAAGCGGGGGACCGUAAGGCCUCGCGCGAUUGGAGCGGCCGAUGUCAGAUUAGGUAGUUGGUGGGGUAAAGGCUCACCAAGCCGACGAUCUGUAGCAGGUCUGAGAGGACGACAGGCCACACUGGGACUGAGAAACGGCCCAGACUCCUACGGGAGGCAGCAGUGGGGAAUUUUGGACAAUGGGCGCAAGCCUGAUCCAGCAAUGCCGCGUGCAGGAAGAAGGCCUUCGGGUUGUAAACUGCUUUUGUACGGAACGAAACGGUCCUGGUUAAUACCCGGGACUAAUGACGGUACCGUAAGAAUAAGCACCGGCUAACUACGUGCCAGCCGCCGCGGUAA
This 497-nucleotide ribosomal RNA is filed under the name uncultured bacterium. RNAcentral describes it as "partial 16S ribosomal RNA". It matches the Rfam family "Bacterial small subunit ribosomal RNA", at positions 29 to 523 of the family's 1533-position model. The record is from RNAcentral.